AGAGUUUGAUCAUGGCUCAGAUUGAACGCUGGCGGCAGGCCUAACACAUGCAAGUCGAGCGGUAGAGAGGUGCUUGCACCUCUUGAGAGCGGCGGACGGGUGAGUAAUACCUAGGAAUCUGCCUGAUAGUGGGGGAUAACGUUCGGAAACGGACGCUAAUACCGCAUACGUCCUACGGGAGAAAGCAGGGGACCUUCGGGCCUUGCGCUAUCAGAUGAGCCUAGGUCGGAUUAGCUAGUUGGUGAGGUAAUGGCUCACCAAGGCUACGAUCCGUAACUGGUCUGAGAGGAUGAUCAGUCACACUGGAACUGAGACACGGUCCAGACUCCUACGGGAGGCAGCAGUGGGGAAUAUUGGACAAUGGGCGAAAGCCUGAUCCAGCCAUGCCGCGUGUGUGAAGAAGGUCUUCGGAUUGUAAAGCACUUUAAGUUGGGAGGAAGGGCAUUAACCUAAUACGUUAGUGUUUUGACGUUACCGACAGAAUAAGCACCGGCUAACUCUGUGCCAGCAGCCGCGGUAAUACAGAGGGUGCAAGCGUUAAUCGGAAUUACUGGGCGUAAAGCGCGCGUAGGUGGUUUGUUAAGUUGAAUGUGAAAUCCCCGGGCUCAACCUGGGAACUGCAUCCAAAACUGGCAAGCUAGAGUAUGGUAGAGGGUAGUGGAAUUUCCUGUGUAGCGGUGAAAUGCGUAGAUAUAGGAAGGAACACCAGUGGCGAAAGCGACUACCUGGACUGAUACUGACACUGAGGUGCGAAAGCGUGGGGAGCAAACAGGAUUAGAUACCCUGGUAGUCCACGCCGUAAACGAUGUCAACUAGCCGUUGGGAGUCUUGAACUCUUAGUGGCGCAGCUAACGCAUUAAGUUGACCGCCUGGGGAGUACGGCGCAGGUAAACUCAAAUGAAUUUGACGGGGGCCCGCACAGGCGGUGGAGCA
This 933-nucleotide ribosomal RNA is filed under the name uncultured bacterium. Its description in RNAcentral is "bacterial SSU rRNA". It matches the Rfam family "Bacterial small subunit ribosomal RNA", at positions 8 to 939 of the family's 1533-position model. The record is from RNAcentral.